GCCCGGUUAGCUCAAUCGGUAGAGCGUGAGACUCUUAGAAUGCCUCAGCAACAAAGUUGCUCUGGUAUGAGUACGCGAUCUCAAGGUUACGGGUUCGACCCCCGCAUCGGGCU
This 113-nucleotide transfer RNA is filed under the name Fusarium falciforme. It matches the Rfam family "tRNA". Rfam says of the family: Transfer RNA (tRNA) molecules are approximately 80 nucleotides in length. Lineage: Eukaryota; Fungi; Ascomycota; Sordariomycetes; Hypocreales; Nectriaceae. The record is from Rfam by way of RNAcentral.